RNAcentral lists this transfer-messenger RNA (179 nucleotides) under Gammaproteobacteria bacterium. RNAcentral describes it as "partial transfer-messenger RNA". It matches the Rfam family "transfer-messenger RNA", at positions 1 to 184 of the family's 374-position model. From Rfam's summary of the family: Bacterial tmRNA, also known as 10Sa RNA or SsrA, is named for its dual tRNA and mRNA-like properties. Its role is to liberate the mRNA from a stalled ribosome. Lineage: Bacteria; Pseudomonadati; Pseudomonadota; Gammaproteobacteria. The record is from RNAcentral.
GGGGGUGACCUGGCUUCGACGCUGGUUGCGAACCCUGAGGUGCAUGCCGAGAGGGUAGUAACUCUCGUAAAUAAAUUGCUGCAACUUUUAUAGUUGCCAAUGACGAAAACUACGCACUAGCUGCUUAAAUCCGCCUUUUAGGCAAAGUUUAGGUUAGCUUGACCCGGGGCGAAUUUGCC